UUAAGCGACUAAGCGUACACGGUGGAUGCCCUGGCAGUCAGAGGCGAUGAAGGACGUGCUAAUCUGCGAUAAGCGUCGGUAAGGUGAUAUGAACCGUUAUAACCGGCGAUUUCCGAAUGGGGAAACCCAGUGUGAUUCGUCACACUAUCAUUAACUGAAUCCAUAGGUUAAUGAGGCGAACCGGGGGAACUGAAACAUCUAAGUACCCCGAGGAAAAGAAAUCAACCGAGAUUCCCCCAGUAGCGGCGAGCGAACGGGGAGNNNNNNNNNNNCUGAAUCAGUGUGUGUGUUAGUGGAAGCGUCUGGAAAGGCGCGCGAUACAGGGUGACAGCCCCGUACACAAAAAUGCACAUGCUGUGAGCUCGAUGAGUAGGGCGGGACACGUGGUAUCCUGUCUGAAUAUGGGGGGACCAUCCUCCAAGGCUAAAUACUCCUGACUGACCGAUAGUGAACCAGUACCGUGAGGGAAAGGCGAAAAGAACCCCGGCGAGGGGAGUGAAAAAGAACCUGAAACCGUGUACGUACAAGCAGUGGGAGCACGCUUAGGCGUGUGACUGCGUACCUUUUGUAUAAUGGGUCAGCGACUUAUAUUCUGUAGCAAGGUUAACCGAAUAGGGGAGCCGAAGGGAAACCGAGUCUUAACUGGGCGUUAAGUUGCAGGGUAUAGACCCGAAACCCGGUGAUCUAGCCAUGGGCAGGUUGAAGGUUGGGUAACACUAACUGGAGGACCGAACCGACUAAUGUUGAAAAAUUAGCGGAUGACUUGUGGCUGGGGGUGAAAGGCCAAUCAAACCGGGAGAUAGCUGGUUCUCCCCGAAAGCUAUUUAGGUAGCGCCUCGUGAAUUCAUCUCCGGGGGUAGAGCACUGUUUCGGCAAGGGGGUCAUCCCGACUUACCAACCCGAUGCAAACUGCGAAUACCGGAGAAUGUUAUCACGGGAGACACACGGCGGGUGCUAACGUCCGUCGUGAAGAGGGAAACAACCCAGACCGCCAGCUAAGGUCCCAAAGUCAUGGUUAAGUGGGAAACGAUGUGGGAAGGCCCAGACAGCCAGGAUGUUGGCUUAGAAGCAGCCAUCAUUUAAAGAAAGCGUAAUAGCUCACUGGUCGAGUCGGCCUGCGCGGAAGAUGUAACGGGGCUAAACCAUGCACCGAAGCUGCGGCAGCGACACUAUGUGUUGUUGGGUAGGGGAGCGUUCUGUAAGCCUGUGAAGGUGUGCUGUGAGGCAUGCUGGAGGUAUCAGAAGUGCGAAUGCUGACAUAAGUAACGAUAAAGCGGGUGAAAAGCCCGCUCGCCGGAAGACCAAGGGUUCCUGUCCAACGUUAAUCGGGGCAGGGUGAGUCGACCCCUAAGGCGAGGCCGAAAGGCGUAGUCGAUGGGAAACAGGUUAAUAUUCCUGUACUUGGUGUUACUGCGAAGGGGGGACGGAGAAGGCUAUGUUGGCCGGGCGACGGUUGUCCCGGUUUAAGCGUGUAGGCUGGUUUUCCAGGCAAAUCCGGAAAAUCAAGGCUGAGGCGUGAUGACGAGGCACUACGGUGCUGAAGCAACAAAUGCCCUGCUUCCAGGAAAAGCCUCUAAGCAUCAGGUAACAUCAAAUCGUACCCCAAACCGACACAGGUGGUCAGGUAGAGAAUACCAAGGCGCUUGAGAGAACUCGGGUGAAGGAACUAGGCAAAAUGGUGCCGUAACUUCGGGAGAAGGCACGCUGAUAUGUAGGUGAAGUCCCUCGCGGAUGGAGCUGAAAUCAGUCGAAGAUACCAGCUGGCUGCAACUGUUUAUUAAAAACACAGCACUGUGCAAACACGAAAGUGGACGUAUACGGUGUGACGCCUGCCCGGUGCCGGAAGGUUAAUUGAUGGGGUCAGCGCAAGCGAAGCUCUUGAUCGAAGCCCCGGUAAACGGCGGCCGUAACUAUAACGGUCCUAAGGUAGCGAAAUUCCUUGUCGGGUAAGUUCCGACCUGCACGAAUGGCGUAAUGAUGGCCAGGCUGUCUCCACCCGAGACUCAGUGAAAUUGAACUCGCUGUGAAGAUGCAGUGUACCCGCGGCAAGACGGAAAGACCCCGUGAACCUUUACUAUAGCUUGACACUGAACAUUGAGCCUUGAUGUGUAGGAUAGGUGGGAGGCUUUGAAGUGUGGACGCCAGUCUGCAUGGAGCCGACCUUGAAAUACCACCCUUUAAUGUUUGAUGUUCUAACGUUGACCCGUGAUCCGGGUUGCGGACAGUGUCUGGUGGGUAGUUUGACUGGGGCGGUCUCCUCCUAAAGAGUAACGGAGGAGCACGAAGGUUGGCUAAUCCUGGUCGGACAUCAGGAGGUUAGUGCAAUGGCAUAAGCCAGCUUGACUGCGAGCGUGACGGCGCGAGCAGGUGCGAAAGCAGGUCAUAGUGAUCCGGUGGUUCUGAAUGGAAGGGCCAUCGCUCAACGGAUAAAAGGUACUCCGGGGAUAACAGGCUGAUACCGCCCAAGAGUUCAUAUCGACGGCGGUGUUUGGCACCUCGAUGUCGGCUCAUCACAUCCUGGGGCUGAAGUAGGUCCCAAGGGUAUGGCUGUUCGCCAUUUAAAGUGGUACGCGAGCUGGGUUUAGAACGUCGUGAGACAGUUCGGUCCCUAUCUGCCGUGGGCGCUGGAGAACUGAGGGGGGCUGCUCCUAGUACGAGAGGACCGGAGUGGACGCAUCACUGGUGUUCGGGUUGUCAUGCCAAUGGCACUGCCCGGUAGCUAAAUGCGGAAGAGAUAAGUGCUGAAAGCAUCUAAGCACGAAACUUGCCCCGAGAUGAGUUCUCCCUGACUCCUUGAGAGUCCUGAAGGAACGUUGAAGACGACGACGUUGAUAGGCCGGGUGUGUAAGCGCAGCGAUGCGUUGAGCUAACCGGUACUAAUGAACCGUGAGGCUUAACCUU
Molecule: ribosomal RNA, 2901 nt
Filed under: Escherichia coli
Lineage: Bacteria; Pseudomonadati; Pseudomonadota; Gammaproteobacteria; Enterobacterales; Enterobacteriaceae
Description: bacterial LSU rRNA
Rfam family: Bacterial large subunit ribosomal RNA
Source: RNAcentral